Solenopsis invicta (red fire ant) is the source of this 2249-nucleotide RNA transcript. RefSeq lists it as uncharacterized. The record is from RefSeq and is a predicted model, not a curated record. The transcript is spliced from 6 exons. Lineage: Eukaryota; Metazoa; Arthropoda; Insecta; Hymenoptera; Formicidae.
CGAUCAACUUUGAUUCCUUCAUUUAACACGGGACUUUCGCUUCUCUUUAUAUGUGUUCUGUGCUAGACCGAUCUCGAUUGAGUUUGCCGUUCACUUUAGCAUCUCUUUAAAAGUUUUGCAGAUAAAAGAAAACAGGAUACGGUACGAAAAUGGAUAGGUGGGAACGUUUCAUGAAAUAUAUUCUGUUCAUUGUAAACGUUGUCAUCCUCAUUUUCGCAACUCUCGUAAUUAUUGCUAGCUUGAUCGGUUUUGCCAACCCAUCAUGGUUUAAGGAAGAAGAAGAAAAAGAAAAAGAAGAAAACAAUAAUUUUACCUACAUACCGAUUAUCAUUGAACUAAUCGUCGAAAUCCUAAUGAUGUCUGUCGCCAUCUUGGGAAUCGUUGCUGCCAAGCGAAAAUCCAAGUGUACGCUCCUAACAUACGCCAUAAUCGCCAUAGUCCUAUUUGUAUUGAUUGUGAUUGGAAUGAUUAGCAAUCAAUCGCAAGAUUCUAUUGAAAUUGCAAUUGAUGUUACAUUCUUGUGUCUUCUGGUCUUGGGAAAAAUAUCCGCCUUUGUGCUCUACAGAUCACAAAGAUCAAAUAAUAAUCCAGCAGCAAAAUAUUAAGAUGAUAUGGGAUAAAGUGGAACGUGGGCUAAAGUGGGCAAACACCGUCAAAAUUUCUAUGUAGUAGCAUAACAUGGGGCACUAGAACGCGGAGCAAAAUGGUGCAUAGAUGCACCGUAGUACUAUGCGCCGUGGUCACUGUGACAGAAGGCAGUAAAGUUGGUAACUGUUAAGACGAGCUUAUAUAAAAGAGCUUAUAUAAAGCUUACAUUAAACCAAAAUUAGAACUUAAGAUUUAAGAAUGAAAAUAAAACAUUUAUAUUUACAUGGGAGUUUUAAAAGGAAAUUGCUGUAUUAAUCCAAAAAGAAAAUUUUAAUACCAAUAAUAAUAAUAAUAAUAAUAAUAGUAAUAUUAUUGGGAGCAAGGAGUUGGGACAUGAACGGCUGUGAUUGCUUAUUAGCGAAUGAUUUCUAGUGAGUUGAAUAGAAAAUUGAAUAAAAACCGAAAAAAAGUGAAAAACUUAUGGUAGCAGAGAAGUGACGUUUUCUGAUCUUUGGAAAUUGUUGAUGGAGAACGAUCUUGAAACUAAACAGUCUGCAUCUCGCGCACAGAUUCUAAGUUCAAAACGAUUUUACAAUGACGCGCACAGCUUUGGCUCUAGACUAAAACUAAGAAUAAGAAUCUUGGAUCUUGAAUCUUGAAAAAUGGUAAUGAUAAUGAAGACGAACCGUCAGAAAGUUGUACAUGUUAUAGAGCUUAGGAAAGGACGUGGAGACAAUCAAGUGGGUGAGAUGGAUAUUUGAUUGGAUGAAACUUUUUGAGAUUUUUCUAAUCCUUCAUAAAUUAUUUGCUGUUGAAAUUUUGGAAAGUUUGCUCGUUGGAUAUUUCACCAACGCUAACUACCAAUCAUCUUUUCGGAUAAUCUCUCGUUGGCUAAUUUUCCAUCUUCUUCUGGUUUUUCUUAAUUUUUAGAGGAACGGACGGUCGUCCAAUCGCUUAAGGGAUUUGUUAUCUACGAUUUCCCUCUCUCUGGAACGAUCGAUGCCGAUUUCUUAUAUUACCGCGUCCGUUUAUUUAGGAUUCAUUUUUCAUAUAAAUUAUCUUUCGGUUCGUGAUGAAACAUGCGUUUGAACGAACAAAACCGAAGUUAUAGAUUUUACAGUUUUAUAGUUUCCGUCCGGCGUCGCAACUCAAUGUUGUCGUUCGCUGUCGCCAGACUUAAAUAUCAUUUCUGUUUUUCCUUUCCGUUCCGGCUUUGUUCGUUCUUAUGAAUUACUAUGUUAGGGUGAGCAAAUAUUGCUCGUAAUUUCGUCAUCGCACGAUUUUCUCUUUGUGCUUCUAUUUAGCCGACUUAUUGCUCCGGACGCGAUAUUUGAGUAUGAUAUCUUUCGAUUUUUUUUCUUAUAAUAAACAAGGAACGGCGUUAUUGUAAAGAGGAAAAUCAAGGGAGCCUUUGGUGAUUUGAUGAUUGAGUGUUAUAAAUUUUAAGGACAAUUUCCUCGCUUAUUUCAUAUAUGCGAAAAGGGAAAUCCUCCGGAUGUAACAUAUUUGUUUUCAUACGUUUUCUGUACAAUGUGUAAAUACAUACGUUAUGUUUUGUGUUAAAUUUUAUUAGAAAUAUGAUCAUAGAUGGUACACAAAUGUAAUUUUAAUAACAGUAAUAUAAUGUAUUGGGGAAAAGUAUUAUUAAUAAACAAUUAUUA